UACCCGCAGCUCAAGUGGUGGUCAUUAUUAUUGGGCCUAAAGCGUCCGUAGCUGGCCUGUUAGAUGCCUGGGUAAAUCGAUGCGCUCAACGUAUCGAAUUCCGGGUAGACCGGCAGGCUCGAGACCGGGAGAGGUGUAGGCUACUCUAGGGGUAGGGGUAAAAUCCUGUAAUCCUUCGGGGAGGACCAGUGGCGAAGGCGCUACACUAGAACGGCUCUGACAGUGAGGGACGAAGCCCUGGGGCGCAAACCGG
RNAcentral lists this ribosomal RNA (253 nucleotides) under uncultured bacterium. RNAcentral's name for it is "partial 16S ribosomal RNA". It matches the Rfam family "Archaeal small subunit ribosomal RNA", at positions 474 to 727 of the family's 1478-position model. The record is from RNAcentral.